CACUCCUACGGGAGGCAGCAGUAGGGAAUAUUGGUCAAUGGACGAGAGUCUGAACCAGCCAUGCCGCGUGCAGGAAGACGGCCCUCUGGGUUGUAAACUGCUUUUAUAUGGGAAGAAAAGACUCCUGCGGGAGGCAUUGACGGUACCAUAGGAAUAAGCCACGGCUAACUACGUGCCAGCAGCCGCGGUAAUACGUAGGUGGCGAGCGUUAUCCGGAUUUAUUGGGUUUAAAGGGUGCGUAGGCGGCUUUUUAAGUCAGUGGUUAAAGGUAGCAGCUUAACUGUUUUACAUGCCAUCGAUACUGAAGAGCUUGAGUUAUCAGAAGGCAGGCGGAAUUUCUGGUGUAGCGGUGAAAUGCAUAGAUACCAGAAGGAACACCUAUUGCGAAGGCAGCUUGCUGCAGAUAAACUGACGCUGAUGCACGAAAGCGUGGGGAGCGAACAGGAUUAGAUACCCUGGUAG
RNAcentral lists this ribosomal RNA (462 nucleotides) under uncultured bacterium. RNAcentral describes it as "bacterial SSU rRNA". It matches the Rfam family "Bacterial small subunit ribosomal RNA", at positions 334 to 793 of the family's 1533-position model. The record is from RNAcentral.